UACAGAGGUGGCAAGCGUUGUUCGGAAUUACUGGGCGUAAAGGGCGCGUAGGCGGCCUUCUAAGUCAGACGUGAAAUCCCCCGGCUUAACCUGGGAACUGCGUCUGAUACUGGAGGGCUUGAGUAUGGGAGAGGGAUGUAGAAUUCCAGGUGUAGCGGUGAAAUGCGUAGAUAUCCGGAGGAACACCGGUGGCGAAGGCGGCUUCCUGGACCGACACUGGACGCUGAGGCGCGAAAGCUAGGGGAGCAAACGGG
This 254-nucleotide ribosomal RNA is filed under the name uncultured bacterium. RNAcentral's name for it is "partial 16S ribosomal RNA". It matches the Rfam family "Bacterial small subunit ribosomal RNA", at positions 524 to 776 of the family's 1533-position model. The record is from RNAcentral.